GCCGAGGUGGUGUAGUCCGGUCUAUCAUCCGGGCCUGUCGAGCCCGGGACCCGGGUUCAAAUCCCGGCCUCGGCGCCA
RNAcentral lists this transfer RNA (78 nucleotides) under Candidatus Bathyarchaeota archaeon. RNAcentral describes it as "tRNA-Asp". It matches the Rfam family "tRNA". From Rfam's summary of the family: Transfer RNA (tRNA) molecules are approximately 80 nucleotides in length. Their secondary structure includes four short double-helical elements and three loops (D, anti-codon, and T loops). Further hydrogen bonds mediate the characteristic L-shaped molecular structure. tRNAs have two regions of fundamental functional importance: the anti-codon, which is responsible for specific mRNA codon recognition, and the 3' end, to which the tRNAs corresponding amino acid is attached (by aminoacyl-tRNA synthetases). tRNAs cope with the degeneracy of the genetic code in two manners: having more than one tRNA (with a specific anti-codon) for a particular amino acid; and 'wobble' base-pairing, i.e. permitting non-standard base-pairing at the 3rd anti-codon position. RNAcentral also lists the same sequence under 3 other names. Lineage: Archaea; Thermoproteati; Candidatus Bathyarchaeota. The record is from RNAcentral.